GACGAACGCUGGCGGCGUGCCUAAUACAUGCAAGUUGAGCGCUGAAGGUUGGUACUUGUACCAACUGGAUGAGCAGCGAACGGGUGAGUAACGCGUGGGGAAUCUGCCUUUGAGCGGGGGACAACAUUUGGAAACGAAUGCUAAUACCGCAUAAAAACUUUAAACACAAGAUUUAAGUUUGAAAGAUGCCAUUGCAUCACUCAAAGAUGAUUCCGCGUUGUAUUAGCUAGUUGGGGAGGUAAAGGCUCACCAAGGCGAUGAUACAUAGCCGACCUGAGAGGGUGGUCGGCCACCUUGGGACUGGGACACGGCCCAAACUCCUUCGGGGGGCAGCAGUAGGGAAUCUUCGGCAAUGGACGAAAGUCUGACCGAGCAACGCCGCGUGAGUGGAGAAGGUUUUCGGGUCGUAAAACUCUGUUUGUAGAGAAGAAAGUUGGUGAGAGUGGAAAGCUCAUCAAGUGACGGUAACUACCCAGAAAGGGACGGCUAACUACGUG
RNAcentral lists this ribosomal RNA (497 nucleotides) under uncultured bacterium. RNAcentral describes it as "partial 16S ribosomal RNA". It matches the Rfam family "Bacterial small subunit ribosomal RNA", at positions 28 to 507 of the family's 1533-position model. The record is from RNAcentral.